RNAcentral lists this ribosomal RNA (486 nucleotides) under uncultured bacterium. RNAcentral describes it as "partial 16S ribosomal RNA". It matches the Rfam family "Bacterial small subunit ribosomal RNA", at positions 30 to 507 of the family's 1533-position model. The record is from RNAcentral.
AUUGAACGCUGGCGGCAUGCCUUACACAUGCAAGUCGAACGGCAGCACGGGUGCUUGCCCCUGGUGGCGAGUGGCGAACGGAUGAGUAAUACAUCGGAACAUGUCCUGUAGUGGGGGAUAGCCCGGCGAAAGCCGGAUUAAUACCGCAUACGAUCCACGGAUGAAAGCGGGGGACCUUCGGGCCUCGCGCUAUAGGGUUGGCCGAUGGCUGAUUAGCUAGUUGGUGGGGUAAAGGCCUACCAAGGCGACGAUCAGUAGCUGGUCUGAGAGGACGACCAGCCACACUGGGACUGAGACACGGCCCAGGCUCCUACGGGAGGCAGCAGUGGGGAAUUUUGGACAAUGGGCGAAAGCCUGAUCCAGCAAUGCCGCGUGUGUGAAGAAGGCCUUCGGGUUGUAAAGCACUUUUGUCCGGAAAGAAAUCCUUGACUCUAAUACAGUCGGGGGAUGACGGUACCGGAAGAAUAAGCACCGGCUAACUACGUG